RNAcentral lists this ribosomal RNA (819 nucleotides) under uncultured Actinomycetes bacterium. RNAcentral's name for it is "bacterial SSU rRNA". It matches the Rfam family "Bacterial small subunit ribosomal RNA", at positions 335 to 1167 of the family's 1533-position model. The record is from RNAcentral. Lineage: Bacteria; Bacillati; Actinomycetota; Actinomycetes.
ACUCCUACGGGAGGCAGCAGUGGGGAAUAUUGCACAAUGGGCGCAAGCCUGAUGCAGCAACGCCGCGUGAGGGACGACGGCCUUCGGGUUGUAAACCUCUUUUAGUAGGGAAGAAGCGAAAGUGACGGUACCUGCAGAAAAAGCACCGGCUAACUACGUGCCAGCAGCCGCGGUAAUACGUAGGGUGCAAGCGUUAUCCGGAAUUAUUGGGCGUAAAGAGCUCGUAGGCGGUUUGUCGCGUCUGCUGUGAAAACUGGAGGCUCAACCUCCAGCCUGCAGUGGGUACGGGCAAACUAGAGUGCGGUAGGGGAGAUUGGAAUUCCUGGUGUAGCGGUGGAAUGCGCAGAUAUCAGGAGGAACACCGAUGGCGAAGGCAGAUCUCUGGGCCGUAACUGACGCUGAGGAGCGAAAGCAUGGGGAGCGAACAGGAUUAGAUACCCUGGUAGUCCAUGCCGUAAACGUUGGGAACUAGAUGUGGGGGCCAUUCCACGGCUUCCGUGUCGCAGCUAACGCAUUAAGUUCCCCGCCUGGGGAGUACGGCCGCAAGGCUAAAACUCAAAGGAAUUGACGGGGGCCCGCACAAGCGGCGGAGCAUGCGGAUUAAUUCGAUGCAACGCGAAGAACCUUACCAAGGCUUGACAUAUACCUGAAAAGGCUGGAAACAGUCUCCCCGCAAGGCAGGUAUACAGGUGGUGCAUGGUUGUCGUCAGCUCGUGUCGUGAGAUGUUGGGUUAAGUCCCGCAACGAGCGCAACCCUCGUUCUAUGUUGCCAGCGCGUUAUGGCGGGAACUCAUAGGAGACUGCCGGGGUCAACUCGGA